Molecule: long non-coding RNA, 694 nt
Filed under: Equus caballus (horse)
Lineage: Eukaryota; Metazoa; Chordata; Mammalia; Perissodactyla; Equidae
Description: lncRNA (ENSECAG00000045553.1)
Source: RNAcentral
GUAUUAACCACGUCUAUUCUUUCUGUAUUUUGCUACUUUGACCUCUGGGGUCUUGCUGACCCUGGAGGGACUGCACCUCCUAGGGUUAGCCAAUUCCUAGAGAAAAUAAGCAGCUUGUCUGUGAGCACACCUCUCAAAUGCAAUGCAACCAGUCCAGAGCCCACAUCCACAACCACCUCCUUCAUGCAGCUCUCACACUCCUGGACCACUAUCCGCCUGCCCUAAUCAUCCCAGGGCUGGGUACUAGACAAGCAGGGACAGCAACUGUGCCCCAAAGUCUGCUGAAAUAAUUCAAAUGAGCCAAUCCUAAGACUGCUCAGCCUGCCUAGCCUGUUCUUCUCUGUGAAAACCACAGGAAAGGCUCUUGCUCACAUUUUCCCUCCACUCCCUGCUCUGCCUCCUGGCUGACCCCGCUGCUUCCCCGUGGAGUGGACGUGACCCCUCUUCUUGAGAUCCACAACCUUCAAGAGUCCUGUGGAGAAGCCGAGAUGAGGAGGAACUAAGGCGUCCGUCCCACCAGCCUUGAGCCAGCUACACCAGUCAGAACGGAAAUAGAGACCCAGAGAAGGUGUGGGGAAAGCAGAAGGAGGAGGCACCGGCCUUGCAGGCCCAAAGCCACCAACCAGGUCUCAUCAAGUUCAUCUCAAUUCUCUACAACCACAACGCCCUCAAAGAAACCUUUAAACCUGAUCAA